AGAGUUGCUUCCCUCAAACAGCCACACAGCCACAAUGUCUGAAAUAGAGAGAUAAUAUUUCCGAACGUGAUCUACAAAAUCAUGAAACAUACCGCUUCAACUCAGAUGAAGCUGUGAGCACAACGAUCAGACUGAAAGCUUUUAUUUCGAAAGCUUUUUAUGGCCUAUUGAACAGCUUAAAAACUGCUGCGAUCGAAGUGGUGAAACUAAUUUCUAAAGCACUUGUUUACCUACUAACAAGUAAUGAAGCACUCUCUUUCAUUGAAGCAUUUCACGUGCUUCUUGAUGACCUUGCCUUGUUUCCGACUACCUUAAUUGGUUUACACUUUCAAGUUUUGGGCGUCUCGCCACUUCAUACACAUUUUGCUAUCGUCUUGCUUUUCUUCAUGGCUACAAUCAUCCAUUGCAUUGCAUAUAUGGAGAUUAAACUACAACCUCAAGAUGCUGGGUGCCUUCCUGUAUUGAAGUUCAUUUGUUUGGUUUCUGGAAUUAUUGCUAUUGAGCUACUCUUCGCAAUAAUCAUCUCUCCCUUUUGGCUAUUCAUGGUAAAUUUAUGCCCAAUCCUGAUCUUGGGGGUACUGCGUCAUUUGUACCAACAAAUUUAUCAAUGUGUACUCAAUGCAAUAUGUAGCUUGUUUAAAAAGAUUUGUCAAUUAGUUGAUCAAAUAUAUGACUGGGGGUCCUUCAGAAAUUCCAGUAAGCAGCUUCUCAAGCAUUUUCUUCAAGGGGGAAGGAAGACAAUUGAUGAGGACAACAAAGAGCUCAAGGAAAAAGAAUAUUAAAUAUACUAAGAUUCAAGAAUUAUGGUCUAGUUUUAAUGUUGGACAUUCUUAGCACCUUUGAUAGGUUAUUUUAGCUAUUAUUGAGUCUUAGUAAUGAGUCUUUUAGGUUGGGAAGUUGUUGGAUCAGUUGUAAUUAAGUUUACUAGAAUAAGGGCAAUUUGGUAAUUUUUGGAAUGGGCUAUCCUUGGCUACCAAAGGCCCAUGAGUCUUAUUUAAUGUCUUGAGUCCUUGGAUUCCAAAUGUGUCCCAGACCAUUGACGUUUACUAUUGAAUUGCAAAGGAGACAGAGAAGGAAAUUGGCUUUUAGAGAGAAUCAUUGUCCAUUUGCCUACAAUAGGACCCCCCAAUAAACUUUCCAGGCAAGCAUUAUUAGAAUGAUAGAAUCAUGGUGGUGAUCAGCAGUGUUUCACAGUUCCACAUCCUAGGAUGCACUUUGGCCUCCUUUAGAGUUUAGAAAUUUAAACAGUUAGUGAUUGUCUAGAACUCAUAUUGAUUCAAAGUUUUACAAUCUUGAACUUGUACUAA
Quercus lobata is the source of this 1307-nucleotide long non-coding RNA. RefSeq lists it as uncharacterized. The record is from RefSeq and is a predicted model, not a curated record. The transcript is spliced from 4 exons. NCBI's taxonomy places the organism in Eukaryota, Viridiplantae, Streptophyta, Magnoliopsida, Fagales, Fagaceae.